This 301-nucleotide ribosomal RNA is filed under the name uncultured bacterium. RNAcentral describes it as "partial 16S ribosomal RNA". It matches the Rfam family "Bacterial small subunit ribosomal RNA", at positions 509 to 807 of the family's 1533-position model. The record is from RNAcentral.
CAGCCGCCGCGGGAAUACGAAGGGUGCAAGCGUUACUCGGAAUUACUGGGCGUAAAGCGUGCGUAGGUGGUGGUUUAAGUCCGUUGUGAAAGCCCUGGGCUCAACCUGGGAAUUGCAGUGGAUACUGGAUCACUAGAGUGUGGUAGAGGAUAGUGGAAUUUCCGGUGUAGCAGUGAAAUGCGUAGAGAUCGGAAGGAACAUCUGUGGCGAAGGCGACUAUCUGGGCCAACACUGACACUGAGGCACGAAAGCGUGGGGAGCAAACAGGAUUAGAUACCCGCGUAGUCCCUGUCUCUUAUAC